RNAcentral lists this ribosomal RNA (253 nucleotides) under uncultured bacterium. Its description in RNAcentral is "partial 16S ribosomal RNA". It matches the Rfam family "Bacterial small subunit ribosomal RNA", at positions 524 to 776 of the family's 1533-position model. The record is from RNAcentral.
UACGGGGGGGGCAAGCGUUGUUCGGAGUUACUGGGCGUAAAGGGCUCGUAGGUGGCCAACUAAGUCAGACGUGAAAUCCCUCGGCUUAACCGGGGAACUGCGUCUGAUACUGGAUGGCUUGAGUUUGGGAGAGGGACGCGGAAUUCCAGGUGUAGCGGCGAAAUGCGUAGAUAUCUGGAGGAACACCGGUGGCGAAGGCGGCGUCCUGGACCAAUACUGACACUGAGGAGCGAAAGCCAGGGGAGCAAACGGG